AUUUGCAGUGUUUCUUUUAUUUGCAGCGGCAUUUCUUUUUAUUUGCAGCGUUUCUUUAUGUGGCAGAGUGACUGUGUCAUCAAACUGUUGUGAGGGCUGGCAUCUACAUUGAAAGCACCGCCCUGUCAGGUGGGGCCAGAGGUAGCUCCCCGCCUUUAUAGGGACAGGUGAGGGCAAUUAAUACCUCUUUGUCUGAGGCCUGGUUGUGGUUGCUGUGGCUGUACGGUUGUGGUGUGACUGUCCUGAGGUGAUCCAGAUUGAGCACUGUGGUCCUGUGCGGAAGAGGUAUGUGUUAGUGGAUUGUAGGUUAGUUUGUCGUUGCAGUGAUUUGUGUGCACACGUGGUGGUUCCUAUUUGGGUCUGUGAUAGAAUCUCCCCGCAGUAAGUACCCUGUCCUGCCUAUUGUCGUAGCAAUUUUAUCCUCUGUAUUUCAUGUCAAGCCAUUUGCUAUUUAUAUAUUAAUAGUUUUAAUUAUUUUAAUGUUGUGAAAUAAAAUAGCUUGGACUAAUCUGGCAGUUUCUCCUUUUUGUUUUACAGGUUCGCUGCCAUAGUUCUCUUUUUAAAAUAAAUAUUCUUCGAAUUGAACACACGUCUCCCGCUCUUUUUGAACCCUUUAAAACUUGUGUCCACAUUCAGAUGGUUGGUAUCUAGGGCUGAUAAAGCCCUCUUCUGUCUAUUUGCCCCCCUUUAUAACCUGGGUGGUGUCACAAACUGGCGCUGUGAGAAGGGUACAGAGCCCAUAGACGUGCAUUCAAAUCAGUUGGUUCAGUGGGAUGAUUUUUAAUUGCAUUGUUGUAUUAAGUUUUGCUAAUUUUUUUUUUUUUCUUUCCUCUUUUUUCAUAUUUAGGGCAAAGCAGCAGCUGGCAAGUGUAUUGAAAGCCUUGUUCUGUCAAUAUUCAGUGGGCCUAACUUCAUUCCCCUUUAGUAGAACAUAGAUCAAUUAAAUGUAUCCCAGCCACAGCCAGGACCCUCUAGCUUCCAUAGGCAGCAGGAUCUCAGCUCAGGGGAGGCUAUGACUUGGGAAAGAUUAAUUUAUGUCCCUCUGGAAAGAUCUUGCCCAUUAUUUAGUGGCAUAGGUGAGAUUAAUGUUCAGAUCUGGGUUGCGUGCCCGUAGACUUGCUACUAUUGAUAAGGCUCAUUUUAUUUAUGAUCAUCUGAUUGGUGAUGCUCGUGAGGAGAUCAAGUAUCGGCCGCAGCAAGUGAGGGAAGACCCUGACCGCAUCUUUGAGAUCCUCCUUGCUCAGUAUAGCUGUCCUAUGUCCUUCAUUGCGGUCAAAGAGGCCUUUUUAUGCCAGAAAGCAACAGGAAGGUGAAUCAUUGAGGGAGUUCUCACAUGCUCUGUUUUCUUUUAGUGGACAAAAUGAUCCAGAGUCAUCCAGAGAAACGCAUCCCUGAUGCUGUUAAAUUGCUGCAUGAUCAGUUUGUAGAGAGUGUAGGGGAUGGGAAUUUGAGCCGGGAGUUUAGAAUUGCUUGUGAACAUCCUGACUAUGACCUUCAUGCUAUCAGGGAUGAAGCUAUUAGGUGGGAGCGUGAGGGCAGAUCUAGGGAAGAAUUGGGCAGACCCAGGAGUUAUUCCGUCCCCUCAGUUUAUAGUAUACAGCAUGUGGGCCAGGCUAGGGGUCAGAAAGAUACUGUAGGGUCAGAGCUUAAAGAAAUGCUGAAGCAGCAGGCUCAAAUUGAUAAGCUUACACAAGAACUAAGAUUAAACCACACUUCAGUCAGGCCUAGGCCCUUUCAGAAGAGGGGGCCACUCAUCUGCAGACGGUGACCCCACGCCCAGCUUGGUAGGUCCCUGUCCAAAGGUCACCAUUACUAUGGGAGGGGUGAACAUUUCUUGCCUAUUAGACACUGGGUCUAUGGUCACCACUAUUACAGAGAGUUUCUUUGCCAAAUAUUUUGAGACAAGGGGCCCAGAGAAGCUGAGGCUGUGCCACUGGCUAUGGUUACGUGCAGCCAAUGGGCUUGAAAUCCCUUAUAUUGGCUAUUUGGAAGUUGAUUUUUCAGGUCUUAGGCAAGCUGAUCCCCAAACGUGGUGUAUUAGUCAUCAGAGAUACACCGGACGCCAGCCCCAAUCCAGAGGUAUGUGGAGUUCUUGGCAUGAAUGUAAAAGAGUUGAUUUUGGAACAUGGUCCUGCCCUGUUUGAUCUCCCCCCAGUCAAGCAAAACGUCUUGCAGUUCUGCCACCAAGCCCAACUCCAGUCCGAACCACAAGUCCAUGGCCCAGUCAGAGUUAAGGGCCGGAGAAAGAUUCAAAUUCCAGGAGGAACAAUGAAAAUGGUGCCUACCACCUGUAGAAAGACAUCUCCAGUUCAUACAGGAUCAGCCCUGUUUGAACCAUUGGAUUCAGGUUUGCCAAAUGGUCUCCUCUCUUCCCCAGCUCUGGUCAAAGUGCUCAGUGGUACAGCGUUCAUCCCUGUAACCAAUGUGGGGACUACAGAGGUAACGUUACCUCCCCACAUUCAGAUUGGCACCCUCUGUCAAGCUGAAAUUGUCAGCCAACCAGAAAGCCUUGUUGGAACUAUAGAGGAGGGGCCAUCUGGUCAUCGGCCAUUGAAUCCCUUGAUUUGUCAACUCUUAGUUCAAGAUCAGGAGAGGGUGAGGUCCCUUUUACAUGGCUAUCAGUCUGUUUUUUUUCCUCCCAUGAUUGUGAUUUGGGGUGUACACAUCUGAUUGCUCAUGAGAUUCCUCUUCUAAAUGAGACCUCUCCGCCAGCGGUAUAGGCGUAUUCCACCAUCAGAAUAUGAAGCUGUUAAGGCACAUGUUCAGCAGCUCCUAGAGAGUAAAGUAAUCCGUGAGAGUUGUAGUUCAUUUGCCUCUCCAAUUGUGAUAGUGAAGAAAAAAGAUUCUACCAUUAGGCUCUGUGUCGACUAGUCUCCUGAACUCUAAAACUAGGAAAGAUGCUUUUCCUCUGCCUCAAAUUGAGGAGUCUCUUGACACUGUCAGGUGCCCAGUGGUUUUCCACGUUGGAUUUAGCCAGCGGGUAUAACCAAGUUCCGGUUGCUGAAUCUGACAAAAUGAAGACAGCCUUUUGCACCCCCUUUAGCCUCUUUGAAUUUAAUAGGAUGCCUUUUGGUUUUGUGUAAUGCACCCAGCACUUUUCAAAGGCUGAUGGAGAGGAUCUUUGGGUUGCACAAUCACCAGUCAUUACUGCUUUAUUUGGAUGAUGUCAUUGUCUUUUCUGCUACAGUGGAUGAGCAUGUCCAACGGCUGGGAGCUGUGUUGGAGACCUUGCGGGUGCAGAACCUAAAAGCUAAACUAGAGAAGGGCUGUUUCCUAAAAACAGAGUUAAAAUACCUUGGCCAUGUCAUCUCAAAAGAUGGUGUAGCAACUGACCCUGAUAAGAUCUCUGUAGUGGUGAAUUGGCAACCUCCAAAAACUGUUACUGAGCUAAGAUCAUUUCUCGGUUUCGCUAGCUAUUAUCGCUACUUUGUUCAAGGUUUUGCAAAACUGGCUGCACCUCUUCAUCACCUCGUGGCUGAGCUGGGUGGCACCAAGACUAAAAAGCUAUCCAAACGCUCCCUCCAGGAACUGUGGACUGAACAAUGUGAAACCAGCUUUGAGAAUCUGAAGGCCAGGUCAUUGCUACCAGGGACCAAAAACCAACCACUGUAGCCCAGGUACUGGUCCAUGAGGUUUUAUCGCUUCGGGGUCCCUGCUAGGAUCCCUUCAGAUCAAGGGAGGAGCUUUGAAGGGGCUCUGAUCCAACAACUGUGUCAGCUGUAUGGUGUGGAAAAGACCCGCACUACUCCAUAUCACCCACAAGCUCCCCAUUGACUUGUUAGGAAGAGUUGAAGAGCCAGUGCACGGCUCUGUCCACAGCUGGGUACAAGAUCAUCAGAAACGCCUUAACGUUGCUUAUGAGGGAGCCAGGAAAUGGCUGCAAACGGCAGCUCAUAAACGUGCAGAGCGGUGUAUGGUGCCAGCCUCAGACCCAUUGCAACUACAUCAGCUGGUGUUUCUCAGAACAUAACAGAAGGGGCAGACAUAAAAUUCAAGAUCACUGGAGCCCCACACCCUAUUGUAUCCUCAAAGUCCCUGAUGAUGCUGGUCCAGUGUAUACAGUCGCACCCGUGAAUCAUCCUAAAAAGCAGGGAUGCUGAGAGGACCACUAGCCCCACCCCUCCCUGAGAUGCAGUUGAGAACUGAGGAGGAUGGAGACAUCUGUGUGGAAACAUGAGCCUCCAACUGGGAACACCUGCCAUCCUCCACCUGUUGGGGUUGAUCCACAGCUGGAACAGGCACCUGAACAACCUGGUACUGUAGUGAAUUUACAAUCCAGAGUUAAUCUACCGCCAGGCCCCUUGAAAGUACAGGCUGGGUCUGUGAUAGAAUCUCCCCGCAGUAAGUACCCUGUCCUGCCUAUUGUCGUAGCAAUUUUAUCCUCUGUAUUUCAUGUCAAGCCAUUUGCUAUUUAUAUAUUAAUAGUUUUAAUUAUUUUAAUGUUGUGAAAUAAAAUAGCUUGGACUAAUCUGGCAGUUUCUCCUUUUUGUUUUACAGGUUCGCUGCCA
Larimichthys crocea (large yellow croaker) is the source of this 4508-nucleotide long non-coding RNA. RefSeq lists it as uncharacterized. NCBI's taxonomy places the organism in Eukaryota, Metazoa, Chordata, Actinopteri, Sciaenidae. The transcript is spliced from 5 exons. The record is from RefSeq and is a predicted model, not a curated record.